Molecule: unclassified non-coding RNA, 323 nt
Filed under: Zea mays
Lineage: Eukaryota; Viridiplantae; Streptophyta; Magnoliopsida; Poales; Poaceae
Description: misc RNA Zm00001eb164540
Source: RNAcentral
GUUGGAUUCAGGCACACUAAAAGAUGGGCUUAUUAUCCUCAGCAACCCAUGUCGACAUGGCAUAGAGCACCCGUCCCUUCCACCCAAGCAGCAACCAACGGUUAUCCUCAUCGAUGAGAAAGUCUCUGUGAUAAUAGUUCUUGACCUUGUCCCUGGAAGCCUUGACAACCUCUGGAUUCAGUGGCAGCUGCCUCAGCCCAGCCCUGUGGUUUCGCACUUGCCAUUGCUUAUAAGUUUCAGGCCGUUCCACCCUGUCUGCACCCUCACAAGCAAUCACAUUCAGGGCAAAUGUCCCAAAGAUAUCCCGCUCGAUCAGCAGCCGU